CCUUUUAGAAAACGUGGAGUUAUUCCUUUGGCCACAUACAUGUGAAUCUACAAGAAAGGUGAUAUUGUAGACAUCAAGGGUAUGGGUACUAUUCAAAAAUUUCAAACAGGAGUGUCCCACAAUGUUACUCUGGCAAAACUGGAAGAGUCUAUCAACAGUGUUACCCAUGUUACCCAGCAUGCUGUUGACAUUGUUGUAAACAAC
This 204-nucleotide long non-coding RNA is filed under the name Homo sapiens (human). RNAcentral describes it as "non-protein coding lnc-SLC22A16-3:1". The record is from RNAcentral. Lineage: Eukaryota; Metazoa; Chordata; Mammalia; Primates; Hominidae.